Molecule: ribosomal RNA, 498 nt
Filed under: Metylophorus novaescotiae
Lineage: Eukaryota; Metazoa; Arthropoda; Insecta; Psocodea; Psocidae
Description: partial 16S ribosomal RNA
Rfam family: Bacterial large subunit ribosomal RNA (bases 370-498)
Source: RNAcentral
UGUCUUUUUGAAAAAAAUUUAAAGUCCAAUCUGCUCACUGAUUUAUUAAAGAGCCGCAGUAUUUUGACUGUGCAAAGGUAGCAUAAUCAAUAGUUUCUUAAUUGGGAACUUGUAUGAAAGAUUAGAUGAAAAUUAUAUUUUCUUUAUUUUAAUAAAUUUAAUUUUAAUUUUAAGUGAAAAUGCUUAAUUUUUUUUAAUAGACGAGAAGACCCUAUAGAUUUUUAUUAUUGAAAUAAAUUUAAUAUAUUUAUUUAGUUAAAUAAUUUGGUUGGGGUGAUUUUGUAAUAUAAAUAACUUAAUUUUUUUUAACCAUAAAUAAUUGAAUUUUUUGAUCUAAAAUUUUUAAUGAAUAGAUUAAAUUACCUUAGGGAUAACAGCGUAAUUUUAUUUAAGAGUUCAUAUCUAUAAUAAAGUUUGCGACCUCGAUGUUGAAUUAAGAUAAUAUAUUGGAGUAGAAAUUAAUAUAAUUAGUCUGUUCGACUAUUAAAUUCUUACGUG